UCCAUUAUGUACAGCAUUGCGUGAGCUUCGCUCCUUAUGUUUAACCAUUCCUGAGCCUGUAAAGGUGUACGGAGGGUGAACGGACUACUUUGAGAAAAUUAGCGUGCUCAAUGCAGGCGACUGCUUGUAUACUUAUGCAUGGAAUAAUGAGAAAGGACCUCGGUUCUGUUUCGUUGGUUUCCGGAAGCUGAGGUAAUGAUUGAUAGGGACAAACGGGGGCAUUCGUAUUGUGGUGUUAGAGGUGAAAUUCUGUGAUCACCGCAAGACGAACAACUGCGAAAGCAUUUGCCAAGAAUGUUUUCAUUAAUCAAGAACGAAAGUUAGAGUUUCGAAGACGAUUAGAUACCGUCCUAGUUCUAACUAUAAACUAUGCCAACUGGGCAUCUGGCGAUUGCAUUUAUGCAUCGGCAGGCACCCUGCGGGAAACCAAAGUUAUUGGGUUCCGGGGGGAGUAUGGUUGCAAAAUCGAAACUUAAAGGAAUUGACGGAGGGGCACACCAGAAGUGGAGCCUGCGGCUCAAUUUGACUCAACGCACGAAAACUUACUCGGUCCGAACACCGUGAGGAUUGACAGGUUGAAAGCUCUUUCUUGAUUCGGUGGGUGGUGGUGCAUGGCCGUUCGUAGUUGGUGGAGUGAUUUGUCUGGUUUAUUCCGAUAACGAACGAGACUCUAGCCUAUUAAUUAGUGAGACGAGCGAACCGCUUUUGCGGCGAUGCCGUUCAGUCACUUCUUAGAGGGACAAGUGUCGUGAGACACUCGAAGUUGAGCAAUAACAGGUCUGUGAUGCCCUUAGAUGUUCGGGGCUGCACGCGCGCUACAAUGGAGGCUUCAAAAAGCGUUCCUGAUCCGAAAGGAGCAGGGAAUCAUAAAUAGCCUUCACGAUUGGGAUCGGAGAUUGUAAUUAUUCUUCGUGAAAGAGGAAUUCCUAG
RNAcentral lists this ribosomal RNA (930 nucleotides) under Neoechinorhynchus simansularis. RNAcentral describes it as "SSU rRNA". It matches the Rfam family "Eukaryotic small subunit ribosomal RNA", at positions 667 to 1617 of the family's 1831-position model. Lineage: Eukaryota; Metazoa; Acanthocephala; Eoacanthocephala; Neoechinorhynchida; Neoechinorhynchidae. The record is from RNAcentral.